RNAcentral lists this transfer RNA (75 nucleotides) under uncultured Pseudomonas sp. RNAcentral describes it as "transfer RNA-Ala". The record is from RNAcentral. Lineage: Bacteria; Pseudomonadati; Pseudomonadota; Gammaproteobacteria; Pseudomonadales; Pseudomonadaceae.
CCUCCUUGGCUCCACCACUACAGCGAGAGCCCAGAAAUGAACAUUCCAUCGCGCAUCGUGCAGCGAAUGUUGAUU